CUCUUGCUCUUGCUCUUGCUCUUCCUCCUCCUCUCUGUGGAGCUGCCAUGUGAGCCCUGGAAGACAGGACGCCUUCCACCAGUGUACUCCAUAAGGAACAGCAGCAUAACAUCUGUGAGGAGAAACACAAAAACAGCUUUUCCUGAGCAUCAUGACUUGCACAGCCUUUACUGUGGCAGGCUUCUACUUGGAAACAGAAACUUAGGGGCACUUGCACUUCAUGUUUUCCUGAACACAGCAUGGGAAAAGCCAGUGUAUCUGACAUGCCAGGACCUAAGAACACAGGACUUUCAAUCGGUGUCCAUCACUCUCCAUUGCCUCUGCUGCAAUGUCCUUUCAGCUGGAAUGUCACAGAGGCUCCUUCUGGAAGGCACGUGGGGAGCAGUCACUGGGCUGCAUGGUCUAGUCAAGUCCUGGGAUGUCCUCUGGUCACUGCUUGGCCUUCUUCACAAUGGUGCCCACAGCAGAAAUGGUGGUGGUCUUGGAGCUGCUGGCACUGGUGGUGACAGUGACCGCUGCUGGCAGCGUGGCUGUGGUAGUAAGGAUGGUGGAUUGUGCUAUUAUUGUCACUGGAAUGGCAGAGUCCCACUUGCUCUUUCUCUUUUGGGCAUCUGCAACAGCUGUGCAGGCAGUAGUGGUGGUGGUAGCUGAGGCAUUGGUCAUGGUGCCUUUCUUGGUGCCCG
This 683-nucleotide long non-coding RNA is filed under the name Cricetulus griseus (Chinese hamster). RNAcentral's name for it is "lncRNA (ENSCGRG00015034769.1)". Lineage: Eukaryota; Metazoa; Chordata; Mammalia; Rodentia; Cricetidae. The record is from RNAcentral.